GAGCGAACAGACGAGGAGCUUGCUCCUCUGACGUUAGCGGCGGACGGGUGAGUAACACGUGGAUAACCUACCUAUAAGACUGGGAUAACUUCGGGAAACCGGAGCUAAUACCGGAUAAUAUAUUGAACCGCAUGGUUCAAUAGUGAAAGACGGUUUUGCUGUCACUUAUAGAUGGAUCCGCGCCGCAUUAGCUAGUUGGUAAGGUAACGGCUUACCAAGGCAACGAUGCGUAGCCGACCUGAGAGGGUGAUCGGCCACACUGGAACUGAGACACGGUCCAGACUCCUACGGGAGGCAGCAGUAGGGAAUCUUCCGCAAUGGGCGAAAGCCUGACGGAGCAACGCCGCGUGAGUGAUGAAGGUCUUCGGAUCGUAAAACUCUGUUAUUAGGGAAGAACAAAUGUGUAAGUAACUAUGCACGUCUUGACGGUACCUAAUCAGAAAGCCACGGCUAACUACGUGCCAGCAGCCGCGGUAAUACGUAGGUGGCAAGCGUUAUCNGGAAUUAUUGGGCGUAAAGCGCGCGUAGGCGGUUUUUUAAGUCUGAUGUGAAAGCCCACGGCUCAACCGUGGAGGGUCAUUGGAAACUGGAAAACUUGAGUGCAGAAGAGGAAAGUGGAAUUCCAUGUGUAGCGGUGAAAUGCGCAGAGAUAUGGAGGAACACCAGUGGCGAAGGCGACUUUCUGGUCUGUAACUGACGCUGAUGUGCGAAAGCGUGGGGAUCAAACAGGAUUAGAUACCCUGGUAGUCCACGCCGUAAACGAUGAGUGCUAAGUGUUAGGGGGUUUCCGCCCCUUAGUGCUGCAGCUAACGCAUUAAGCACUCCGCCUNGGNGUACGACCGCAAGGUUGAAACUCAAA
RNAcentral lists this ribosomal RNA (859 nucleotides) under Staphylococcus epidermidis. RNAcentral describes it as "bacterial SSU rRNA". It matches the Rfam family "Bacterial small subunit ribosomal RNA", at positions 64 to 905 of the family's 1533-position model. The record is from RNAcentral. Lineage: Bacteria; Bacillati; Bacillota; Bacilli; Caryophanales; Staphylococcaceae.